UACGUAGGGGGCUAGCGUUAUCCGGAAUUACUGGGCGUAAAGGGUGCGUAGGUGGUUUCUUAAGUCAGAGGUGAAAGGCUACGGCUCAACCGUAGUAAGCCUUUGAAACUGAGGAACUUGAGUGCAGGAGAGGAGAGUAGAAUUCCUAGUGUAGCGGUGAAAUGCGUAGAUAUUAGGAGGAAUACCAGUUGCGAAGGCGGCUCUCUGGACUGUAACUGACGCUGAGACGCGAAAGCGUGGGGAGCGAACCGG
Molecule: ribosomal RNA, 252 nt
Filed under: uncultured bacterium
Lineage: Bacteria
Description: partial 16S ribosomal RNA
Rfam family: Bacterial small subunit ribosomal RNA
Source: RNAcentral